GUCCUUUUGAAUUUUUAUUUAAGGUCUAGUCUGCCCACUGAAAAAUAUUUUAAAUGGCCGCAGUAUUUUGACUGUGCAAAGGUAGCAUAAUCAUUAGUUUUUUAAUUAAAAGCUUGUAUGAAAGGCUGGACGAGGUAAAAUCUGUCUCUAUUUAAAUUAUAGUAGAAUUUAACUUUUAAGUUAAAAGGCUUAAAUAUUAUUAAAAGACGAGAAGACCCUAUAGAUCUUUAUAACUUGUUAAAUAAAAUUAAUUUAGAAUUAUUUAUAUUUUAUUUAAUAAAAUUAUUUUAUUGGGGUAAUAAAAAGAUUGAAUUAAUUCUUUUUUAUAAUAAACAUUAAUUUAUGAAUAUUUAAUGAUCCAGUUUUACUGAUUAUAAGAUUAAGUUACCUUAGGGAUAACAGCGUAAUUUUUUUAGAGAGUUCAUAUCGAUAAAAAAGUUUGCGACCUCGAUGUUGGAUUAAAGAUUAUUUUAGGUGUAGAAGCUUAGAAAUUUUGGUCUGUUCGACCAUUAAAUCUUUAC
This 521-nucleotide ribosomal RNA is filed under the name Carabus olafi olafi. Its description in RNAcentral is "partial 16S ribosomal RNA". It matches the Rfam family "Bacterial large subunit ribosomal RNA", at positions 1829 to 2599 of the family's 2925-position model. The record is from RNAcentral. Lineage: Eukaryota; Metazoa; Arthropoda; Insecta; Coleoptera; Carabidae.